AUUGAGUUUCUUUAACAUAAGUCUAUAUCGCAACAAAAAUGAAGUUAAGUAUAACUUUUUUUUUGAUUUUUGCAAUUUUUGCAGCAAUCAUUGGUGCAACUUCAAAGCACGGCAAAGAAGAAAAGAGACUAUUGGGUAUAGCGGAGAAUAUAAGGGGGAAAUUCUGCGAAAUAGUAUGUUCUGGGGGAGGAAAAAAGAAGUGAUCCAGCCCAGAAACGUAGAAUACACCAUGGUUGUAUUCAGUUUAUUGAAAAGUGUAGCGCAUGUA
Onthophagus taurus is the source of this 268-nucleotide long non-coding RNA. RefSeq lists it as uncharacterized. Lineage: Eukaryota; Metazoa; Arthropoda; Insecta; Coleoptera; Scarabaeidae. The record is from RefSeq and is a predicted model, not a curated record.